RNAcentral lists this transfer RNA (65 nucleotides) under Chaetosoma scaritides. RNAcentral's name for it is "tRNA-Ala". It matches the Rfam family "tRNA". Rfam says of the family: Transfer RNA (tRNA) molecules are approximately 80 nucleotides in length. The record is from RNAcentral. Lineage: Eukaryota; Metazoa; Arthropoda; Insecta; Coleoptera; Chaetosomatidae.
AGGAUAGUAGUUUAAAAAAAACAUUUAAUUUGCAUUUAAAAAUUUUUGGAUUCCAAUUUAUCUUA